AAAUAGUCCAUCAUGGCCGACCAAGAAGAUGUUCAAACAACCAAGAGAUAUGUUAGUCCAAAGACAGAAUGACGAGCGAACUUUUACCACUUAUUUGUGUAGAAGAGUAUGGUACCAGGGGUGCAGCUGACUCUGAUUCCCGGCUUGUUCUAAUGAAAAAAGGCAGAUGAGGCACUGGAAUCCGAAUGUAAUCAAAAAUGCCAUUGUAUGAGGAUUGACCUGCAAUGCAUGGCAAUCAUCUUAACACAACUGCAACGCCUUCCUUGGAAAAAUGAGUGCAAGAUGGAAACAAAGCGUUCAGUGGAACAUCUUGUCAUCUCAAAUAUUUGAUGACUUACAUACUGAUGUGAAGUUAAAGAUAAAAGUCAUCUGUUGGUCCGUGAUUAUUAAAUAAAUCCGAACUUAUAUUUUAAAAGGGUAAAAUGGUAAAGGAUUUAUAUACGCUUUACGUGGUUUUCCUAUAUUAUGGAGGGAAGAUAACUACAAAAACAGAAACAGAUGGCAUCGGCAGACCAAAUAAAGGAGAACUAUUUUGUUCAGUUCAAUUUUUAAGACUUCAGAAAAUCUGUUAAUAGGGCACAUCCUUGCAAAUGCCAUAUUGUAAACUGGGCUCUUUAAAAUGUGAAAAGGUGAAAGUGGUCUAGAGGAUAAGCCCCAAAUUCAAGGUUGUGAGUUCAAGACCUCCAAGAUACUUUCUCUUGACCUCAGGAAAAGGAUGUCCAUACUUGUUUCUUCUUA
This is a long non-coding RNA of Mya arenaria, 738 nucleotides long. RefSeq lists it as uncharacterized. NCBI's taxonomy places the organism in Eukaryota, Metazoa, Mollusca, Bivalvia, Myida, Myidae. The transcript is spliced from 3 exons. The record is from RefSeq and is a predicted model, not a curated record.